ACACAUGCAAGUCGAGGGGAAACGGCAUCAAGCGCUUGCGCCUGAUGGACGUCGACCGGCGCACGGGUGAGUAACGCGUAUCCAACCUGCCCCACACUAAGGGAUAACCCGCAGAAAUGUGGACUAAUACCUUAUAUUUUCCACCAAGGGCAUCGUCGAUGGAACAAAGAUUUAUCGGUAUGGGAUGGGGAUGCGUCCGAUUAGGUUGUUGGCGGGGUAACGGCCCACCAAGCCUUCGAUCGGUAGGGGUUCUGAGAGGAAGGUCCCCCACAUAGGAACUGAGACACGGUCCUAACUCCUACGGGAGGCAGCAGUGAGGAAUAUUGGUCAAUGGGCGAUAGCCUGAACCAGCCAAGUAGCGUGCAGGAAGACGGCCCUAUGGGUUGUAAACUGCUUUUAUGCGGGGAUAAAGGAGUCCACGUGUGGAUUUUUGCAGGUACCGCAUGAAUAAGGACCGGCUAAUUCCGUGCCAGCAGCCGCGGUAAUACGGAAGGUCCGGGCGUUAUCCGGAUUUAUUGGGUUUAAAGGGAGCGUAGGCCGCGUUUUAAGCGUGUUGUGAAAUGUAGACGCCCAACGUCUGCAUCGCAGCGCGAACUGGGACGCUUGAGUACGCGCAACGUUGGCGGAAUUCGUCGUGUAGCGGUGAAAUGCUUAGAUAUGACGAGGAACUCCGAUUGCGAAGGCAGCUGACGGGAGCGGCACUGACGCUUAAGCUCGAAGGUGCGGGUAUCAAACAGGAUUAGAUACCCUGGUAGUCCGCACAGUAAACGAUGGAUGCCCGCUGUGUGCCAUUUAUGGUACGCGGCUAAGCGAAAGCGUUAAGCAUCCCACCUGGGGAGUACGCCGGCAACGGUGAAACUCAAAGGAAUUGACGGGGGCCCGCACAAGCGG
RNAcentral lists this ribosomal RNA (891 nucleotides) under uncultured bacterium. RNAcentral's name for it is "bacterial SSU rRNA". It matches the Rfam family "Bacterial small subunit ribosomal RNA", at positions 51 to 932 of the family's 1533-position model. The record is from RNAcentral.